AACCUAGCACACCUGCGGUGUGUACCUGCGGAAGGAUCAUUACAGAGUUGCAAGACUCCCUAAACCAUUGUGAACCUACCUUCUACCGUUGCUUCGGCGGGCGGGCCCAGCGCCCCCCCGGCCCCCCGCGGGCGCCCGCCGGAGGAUACCCAAACUCUUGACAUUAGUGGCCUCUCUGAGUAUUCUUUACUGAAUAAGUCAAAACUUUUAACAACGGAUCU
RNAcentral lists this unclassified non-coding RNA (221 nucleotides) under soil metagenome. RNAcentral describes it as "partial contains 5.8S ribosomal RNA, internal transcribed spacer 2, and large subunit ribosomal RNA". The record is from RNAcentral.